This 494-nucleotide ribosomal RNA is filed under the name uncultured Roseibacillus sp. RNAcentral's name for it is "bacterial SSU rRNA". It matches the Rfam family "Bacterial small subunit ribosomal RNA", at positions 89 to 584 of the family's 1533-position model. Lineage: Bacteria; Pseudomonadati; Verrucomicrobiota; Verrucomicrobiia; Verrucomicrobiales; Verrucomicrobiaceae. The record is from RNAcentral.
UUCUUAGUGGCGGACGGGUUAGUAACACGUGAGAAUCCUACCCUUGAGUGGGGAAUAGCCUUUCGAAAGGAAGAUUAAUGCCCCAUAGUCUCUACGGAGUAAAGAUGCCUUCGGGUGUCGCUUAAGGAUGGGCUCGCGGCCUAUCAGCUAGUUGGUGAGGUAAGAGCUCACCAAGGCAACGACGGGUAGCUGGUCUGAGAGGACGAUCAGCAACACUGGAACUGAGACACGGUCCAGACACCUACGGGUGGCAGCAGUCGAGAAUCAUUCACAAUGGACGAAAGUCUGAUGGUGCAACGCCGCGUGGAGGAUGACGGCCCUAGGGUUGUAAACUCCUGUCAUCAGGGAGUAAGACUUAUUCGUUAAUAGCGUGUAAGUUUGAUAGUACCUGAAGAGGAAGGGACGGCUAACUUCGUGCCAGCAGCCGCGGUAAUACGAAGGUCCCAAGCGUUGUUCGGAAUAACUGGGCGUAAAGCGUGUGUAGGCCGCGCGGA